RNAcentral lists this ribosomal RNA (508 nucleotides) under uncultured bacterium. RNAcentral describes it as "bacterial SSU rRNA". It matches the Rfam family "Bacterial small subunit ribosomal RNA", at positions 18 to 518 of the family's 1533-position model. The record is from RNAcentral.
UCUGGUUCAGGAUGAACGCUAGCUACAGGCUAACACAUGCAAGUCGAGGGGCAGCAUAACGAAAGCUUGCUUUGUGAUGGCGACCGGCGCACGGGUGAGUAACGCGUAUCCAACCUUCCCUAUACUAGAGAAUAGCCCGGCGAAAGUCGGAUUAAUGCUCUAUGUUCUUCUUUGAUGGCAUCUGACGAGAAGCAAAGGUUUACCGGUAUAGGAUGGGGAUGCGUCUGAUUAGGUUGUUGGCGGGGUAACGGCCCACCAAGCCUACGAUCAGUAGGGGUUCUGAGAGGAAGGUCCCCCACAUUGGUACUGAGACACGGACCAAACUCCUACGGGAGGCAGCAGUGAGGAAUAUUGGUCAAUGGGCGAGAGCCUGAACCAGCCAAGUAGCGUGCAGGAUGACUGCCCUAUGGGUUGUAAACUGCUUUUAUAGGGGAAUAAAGUGAGGUAUGUAUACCUUUUUGUAUGUACCCUAUGAAUAAGGACCGGCUAAUUCCGUGCCAGCCGCUGC